AUGAUUAGCUGCGGGGAAAGAGAAACUAAAAUCUUUUCAGAAAGUGAUGCCGUAGUAACUUCCACAAUGAUUGUCUUCAGAGCUAUACUGGCAAUAUCACGAUGCUGCUCCUUUCCAUUGAGUAAUUUAUCACAAAGCUUGUCAGUCAUCUCCACUACUCUAUCCUCGCUUACCUUCUUAACAAGUGGAGCCAAGCAUUUCACAGCUAAACCAGAAACAUCUCCUGAAGCAUCUUCCAGUUGUUGA
RNAcentral lists this ribosomal RNA (246 nucleotides) under Triticum aestivum (bread wheat). RNAcentral describes it as "partial small subunit ribosomal RNA". Lineage: Eukaryota; Viridiplantae; Streptophyta; Magnoliopsida; Poales; Poaceae. The record is from RNAcentral.